GCAGUGGUGGUUCAGUGGUACAAUUCUCGUCUUCUAUGUGGGAGACUUGGGUUUGAUUCCCAGCCAGCA
Molecule: transfer RNA, 69 nt
Filed under: Loxodonta africana (African savanna elephant)
Lineage: Eukaryota; Metazoa; Chordata; Mammalia; Proboscidea; Elephantidae
Rfam family: tRNA
About the family: Transfer RNA (tRNA) molecules are approximately 80 nucleotides in length. Their secondary structure includes four short double-helical elements and three loops (D, anti-codon, and T loops). Further hydrogen bonds mediate the characteristic L-shaped molecular structure. tRNAs have two regions of fundamental functional importance: the anti-codon, which is responsible for specific mRNA codon recognition, and the 3' end, to which the tRNAs corresponding amino acid is attached (by aminoacyl-tRNA synthetases). tRNAs cope with the degeneracy of the genetic code in two manners: having more than one tRNA (with a specific anti-codon) for a particular amino acid; and 'wobble' base-pairing, i.e. permitting non-standard base-pairing at the 3rd anti-codon position.
Source: Rfam by way of RNAcentral